RNAcentral lists this ribosomal RNA (443 nucleotides) under uncultured bacterium. RNAcentral's name for it is "partial 16S ribosomal RNA". It matches the Rfam family "Bacterial small subunit ribosomal RNA", at positions 338 to 795 of the family's 1533-position model. The record is from RNAcentral.
CCUACGGGGGGCAGCAGUGGGGAAUAUUGGGCAAUGGGCGCAAGCCUGACCCAGCAACGCCGCGUGAAGGAAGAAGGCUUUCGGGUUGUAAACUUCUUUUCUCAGGGACGAAGCAAGUAACGGUACCUGAGGAAUAAGCCACGGCUAACUACGUGCCAGCAGCCGCGGUAAGACGUAGGUGGCAAGCGUUAUCCGGAUUUACUGGGUGUAAAGGGCGUGUAGGCGGGACUGCAAGUCAGAUGUGAAAACCAUGGGCUCAACCUAUGGCCUGUAUUGGAUACUGUAGUUCUUGAGUACUGGAGAGGCAGACGGAAGUGCGAGUGUAGCGGUGAAAUGCGUAGAUAGUAGGAGGAACACCAGUGGCGAAGGCGGUCUGCUGGACAGCAACUGACGCUGAGGCGCGAAAGCGUGGGGAGCAAACAGGAUUAGAUACCCUAGUAGUC